Molecule: long non-coding RNA, 482 nt
Filed under: Musa acuminata (dwarf banana)
Lineage: Eukaryota; Viridiplantae; Streptophyta; Magnoliopsida; Zingiberales; Musaceae
Description: long non-coding RNA (MACU_LNC001109)
Source: RNAcentral
UUGAAAAAGAGAAUGGUCAAAGAGAUCACCCUUAUGAAGACCAAUAGGAAGCAUAUAAUGGAAAAGAGGCCAUAAUUGCUUCUUGCAGAACCCGUGGUAAUACUUCUUAUAAAGAUCAGGAGAAAGGAAGGUUGGCAUGCACCCAUAUUCUUCCAAUAGCUUUUGAGAAACUACUUCUUGCUCACGGACAUCUAUAUCAGCCUUCAAACAUCCAACAUAUAUGACUUCAGUAUCAUAAGAAAAUCCAUCUUUCAGUUGUAGCAGCAGUGCAUCCUCAUCCCAUGUGAAGCACCAUUCUCCAGUCAUUUGAUCUUUCAUAGAGUUUAGCGGAAGGAAGUUUGCUACUAUGAUUUUACGAUCACAGAAUAGUGAUGUGGUAGUACAAGAGUCUUCAUCAGUGCAUGCUCCUUCAUCUGCGUCAUUUAUUAUUCCUGGAGUUGUCAUUACUCUAGGAAGUGAUUUAAUAGACAUACUGAAGUCUA